UGACGCAGACAACCAGGCUCUAUCCAUGAGAUAAGUGUCUUGUGGUAACCCACAAGACCUCCAUUUCACUGUGUUACCACAAAUUGGAUCAAAAGACUACUGAACCGGGUAACCGGAUGAUUGCAACUCCCUAAAUGCCCAGUACGCCCGCGGCCACAUCGACCAAUCACCACACCUAUGCUG
This is a long non-coding RNA of Cryptotermes secundus, 183 nucleotides long. RefSeq lists it as uncharacterized. The record is from RefSeq and is a predicted model, not a curated record. The transcript has 2 exons. Lineage: Eukaryota; Metazoa; Arthropoda; Insecta; Blattodea; Kalotermitidae.